AGACCAUGAUGUGGGCAUCUCCGAAGCAAGUCUUUUUACCUUUCCCAUGUUUUGUAUAAAGGCUCAGAAUUCAACUGCAUGAAAGAAAAAAUAUUGUUCCUCAUCUU
This 107-nucleotide small nucleolar RNA is filed under the name Theobroma cacao (cacao). Its description in RNAcentral is "Plant small nucleolar RNA R71". It matches the Rfam family "Plant small nucleolar RNA R71". Rfam says of the family: R71 is a member of the C/D box family of snoRNAs containing the C (UGAUGA) and D (CUGA) box motifs. Multiple nearly identical copies of this snoRNA have been identified in Arabidopsis, and it is thought to function as a 2'-O-ribose methylation guide for 18S ribosomal RNA. The record is from Rfam by way of RNAcentral. Lineage: Eukaryota; Viridiplantae; Streptophyta; Magnoliopsida; Malvales; Malvaceae.